Molecule: ribosomal RNA, 254 nt
Filed under: uncultured bacterium
Lineage: Bacteria
Description: partial 16S ribosomal RNA
Rfam family: Bacterial small subunit ribosomal RNA
Source: RNAcentral
UACGUAGGGGGGCAAGCGUUGUCCGGAUUUAUUGGGCGUAAAGAGCGUGUAGGCGGCCAAGCAGGUCCGCUGUGAAAACUCGAGGCUCAACCUCGAGACGUCGGUGGAAACCGUUUGGCUAGAGUCCGGAAGAGGAGAGUGGAAUUCCCGGUGUAGCGGUGAAAUGCGCAGAUAUCGGGAAGAACACCCGUGGCGAAGGCGGCCCUCUGGCUCGACCCUGACGCUGAGAGGCGAAAGCGUGGGGAGCGAACGGG